UACGUAGGGGGCAAGCGUUGUUCGGAAUCACUGGGCGUAAAGGGCGUGUAGGCGGUCCGCUAAGUCUGAUGUGAAAGCCCGGGGCUCACCCCCGGAAGGGCAUUGGAAACUGACGGACUCGGGUCCCGAAGAGGAGGGUGGAAUUCCUGGUGUAGCGGUGAAAUGCGUAGAUAUCAGGAGGAACACCGGUGGCGAAGGCGGCAUCCUGGACCGGCAUUGACGCUGAGGCGCGAAAGCUAGGGGAGCAAACGGG
Molecule: ribosomal RNA, 253 nt
Filed under: uncultured bacterium
Lineage: Bacteria
Description: partial 16S ribosomal RNA
Rfam family: Bacterial small subunit ribosomal RNA
Source: RNAcentral